UGGGGAAUAUUGCACAAUGGGCGAAAGCCUGAUGCAGCAACGCCGCGUGAGUGAUGAAGGCCUUCGGGUUGUAAAGCUCUGUCUUUUGGGACGAUAAUGACGGUACCAAAGGAGGAAGCCACGGCUAACUACGUGCCAGCAGCCGCGGUAAUACGUAGGUGGCAAGCGUUGUCCGGAUUUACUGGGCGUAAAGGAUGCGUAGGCGGAUUUUUAAGUGAGAUGUGAAAACCCUAAGCUUAACUUGGGGACUACAUUUCAUACUGGAAAUCUAGAGUGCGGGAGAGGAGAAUGGAAUUCCUAGUGUAGCGGUGAAAUGCGUAGAGAUUAGGAAGAACACCAGUGGCGAAGGCGAUUCUCUGGACCGUAACUGACGCUGAGGCAUGAAAGCGUGGGUAGCAAACAGGAUUAGAUACCCUGGUAGUCCACGCCGUAAACGAUGAGUACUAGGUGUAGGAGGUAUCGACCCCUUCUGUGCCGCAGUUAACACAAUAAGUACUCCGCCUGGGAAGUACGAUCGCAAGAUUAAAACUCAAAUGAAUUGACGGGGUCAUAGCUGUUUUCCU
RNAcentral lists this ribosomal RNA (563 nucleotides) under uncultured bacterium. RNAcentral's name for it is "partial 16S ribosomal RNA". It matches the Rfam family "Bacterial small subunit ribosomal RNA", at positions 355 to 1375 of the family's 1533-position model. The record is from RNAcentral.